RNAcentral lists this long non-coding RNA (536 nucleotides) under Nicotiana benthamiana. RNAcentral's name for it is "long non-coding RNA (NBEN_LNC012270)". Lineage: Eukaryota; Viridiplantae; Streptophyta; Magnoliopsida; Solanales; Solanaceae. The record is from RNAcentral.
CUCAAAUCCCUCCGAUGUGGGACAACUCAACACCCCCCUCACGUCCAGAUUUCUGGAGCGUGGUCAACAUAAAUGGGGGCCCAACAUCGGUAACAAUAAUUGGGACGGGCUUGGCUCUGACACCAUGAUAAGAAUGGACAUUCGGCCUAACUCAACCCCAAAAGCUAGCUUAUGAGGAGAGGAUUGCCCAAACCAUAUAAGGAGACCAAGGACCUCAAAUCCCUCCGAUGUGGGACAACUCAACAAUUGUGAUAACUGAUUUUUCCUGCAAGGCGAAUACUGCAGGUCAGAGAGACAUACAAGUCAAUUGUUUAGCUGAAUCAUCAGAGAAAAAGUAUUCUUUCUUGAAAACAAAACCAUAAACAAAAGCGAGGAAACAAAAAGCCAACCCAAUAUUCUUCAGGAGUUUUGGUACAUAGUCUUUCCACUUAUCGUGCAUUGGCUUGAAGAUGUCAUAGCUGUAGAACAAACCACAAAAGAAUUCUCAGGACAAGAGAUGAUCUGGGCAACACCAGAAAGUGAGUACAUAACUUUGC